UCGAGAAUAAUUCACAAUGGGGGCAACCCUGAUGGUGCAACGCCGCGUGGAGGAUGAAGGUCUUCGGAUUGUAAACUCCUGUCAUCCGGGAGCAAGACCUGACGGUUAACAGCCGGCAGGGUUGAUAGUACCGGAAGAGGAAGGGACGGCUAACUUCGUGCCAGCAGCCGCGGUAAUACGAAGGUCCCGAGCGUUGUUCGGAAUCACUGGGCGUAAAGGGAGCGUAGGCGGCGUGGUAAGUCAGAUGUGAAAUCCCGGGGCUCAACCCCGGAACUGCAUCCGAUACUGCCGUGCUAGAGUUUUGGAGAGGUAGCUGGAAUUCACGGUGUAGCAGUGAAAUGCGUGGAUAUCGUGAGGAACACUCGUGGCGAAAGCGAGCUACUGGACAACAACUGACGCU
This 400-nucleotide ribosomal RNA is filed under the name uncultured bacterium. Its description in RNAcentral is "bacterial SSU rRNA". It matches the Rfam family "Bacterial small subunit ribosomal RNA", at positions 355 to 747 of the family's 1533-position model. The record is from RNAcentral.